AUUGAACGCUGGCGGCAUGCUUUACACAUGCAAGUCGAACGGUAACAGGGAGCUUGCUCCGCUGACGAGUGGCGAACGGGUGAGUAAUGCAUCGGAACGUACCCAGUCGUGGGGGAUAACGUAGCGAAAGUUACGCUAAUACCGCAUACGUCCUGAGGGAGAAAGCGGGGGACCGAAAGGCCUCGCGCGAUUGGAGCGGCCGAUGUCGGAUUAGCUAGUUGGUGGGGUAAAGGCCUACCAAGGCGACGAUCCGUAGCGGGUCUGAGAGGAUGAUCCGCCACACUGGGACUGAGACACGGCCCAGACUCCUACGGGAGGCAGCAGUGGGGAAUUUUGGACAAUGGGGGCAACCCUGAUCCAGCAACGCCGCGUGAAUGAAGAAGGCCUCGGUUGUAAGUUACUUUUGUUCUGGGGCGAAGUCUGUGUGGUGAUAGCCAUGUAGGAUGAGAGUACCAGAAGAAUAAGACACCGGCUAACCUACGUGCCAGCAGCCGCG
Molecule: ribosomal RNA, 496 nt
Filed under: uncultured bacterium
Lineage: Bacteria
Description: bacterial SSU rRNA
Rfam family: Bacterial small subunit ribosomal RNA
Source: RNAcentral